GACGAACGCUGGCGGCGUGCCUAAUACAUGCAAGUCGAGCGGGGAUUAUGCUUGAUCGCUUCGGUGAGACGGCAUAUAUCCUAGCGGCGGACGGGUGAGUAACGCGUGGGUAAUCUACCUCGUAGUUCGGGAUAACAGGCCGAAAGGCUUGCUAAUACCGGAUGAGUUCAUGCUUAUGCAUAUAGGCAUGAAGAAAGGGCUAGCCCGCUAUGAGAUGAGCCCGCGUCCCAUUAGCUUGUUGGUGGGGUAAUGGCCUACCAAGGCAACGAUGGGUAGCCGGCCUGAGAGGGUGUACGGCCACACUGGGACUGAGACACGGCCCAGACUCCUACGGGGGCAGCAGUAGGGAAUUUUCGGCAAUGGGCGAAAGCCUGACCGAGCGACGCCGCGUGAGGGACGAAGGCCUUCGGGUGUAAACCUCUGUCUGGGGGAUGAGAACGGACGGUACCCCGGAGGAACGCCCGGCUAACUACGUG
Molecule: ribosomal RNA, 476 nt
Filed under: uncultured bacterium
Lineage: Bacteria
Description: bacterial SSU rRNA
Rfam family: Bacterial small subunit ribosomal RNA
Source: RNAcentral